AAUGUUUGUGUUCUGAUAUCAGAAAUGUUAGUGAUAAAUUUUGACACUAUUUUAACACCAGCACUAAGUAAAUAUUUAAAUUUAUCCAUGUCAGACAUGUUAUCAAAAUUACAGUUAUAUCUCUGUUGACAGUCCAUAAACAUGCGAUUUCUCUGUAACGAAUAGGUAGGACAAUGUAAUAAAAAGUGUUUUUCGUCUUCUACGCUUCCAGUUCUGCAAACUUUACAAAGUCGUCUAUCAGCUGGGACUCCCCGGUAACGCCCUUUCUCGAUUUCAAGGGGGAAAACACCACAUCUCAGUCUUGCAAUUGCUGAUCUUUCAUGGCGUGAAAUACCUGAUUUUAGGUACGGUUGAACACUGUAUGUGGUGUUCAAGUCUCUAUACGUGCGGAGUUUUGGCAUAGCUUCUACGGCUUUUCCCAUGUGAUCUGGUACUUUUGCAUUAGCAUGUCUUUUGCAAAAUUACUAAUAAACUUGGUACUAAGUCCAUCCGUACAUUUCGAGUUAAAUAUAGAGUAUCAAGUCCAUUUUCAUUCAUAAUUGAUUUUAUAUUGUUGUACCACGUAUCCUUAUGAUUUCGUGAAAAACUACAGUCCCAUGCAUAUAUCCGCGAUGGUAAUCUUUCCGAGUGCAUAUUUACAAUACGACACCAAAGCUUUAUCAUCUGACAAUGAUUUCGGAUAGAGACUGGAAUCCAUGCCAUUUCACCUGUCAUUCCCGGUAUCGGUGUAAACUUUCCGACUCCUAAGAAAGACCGUAUAGCCCUAUUUUGCAGUUUGUCUAGUCCUUCAUACGCUUUAAACCCCCAUACUCCAGCACAGUAGGUCAUAAUUGGGGCGACUGUACUUUCAAAAAGUUUAGUAUACGUGUCAUAAUCAAAUCCAUCUGUACUGUAAUAUUUCGAAACAAGGGAACCCAAAGCACGACUGCUACCAGUAAUCAACUCAUUUACACUGAUGUUGUAGUCUAAUGUUUCUGACACUGUAAGACCUAGAUAGCGGUACUGUGAAGUAUAGUCAACUAUUUUGUCGCCAAUUUUAAACACAAAUUCGCUUCGUGCAACUGUAGCUUUCCUUACGUGUAGUACUUUAGUUUUGUCAAUAUUCACUUUUAAGCGCC
Molecule: long non-coding RNA, 1118 nt
Filed under: Mytilus galloprovincialis (Mediterranean mussel)
Lineage: Eukaryota; Metazoa; Mollusca; Bivalvia; Mytilida; Mytilidae
Source: RNAcentral